Molecule: transfer-messenger RNA, 350 nt
Filed under: Acutalibacteraceae
Lineage: Bacteria; Bacillati; Bacillota; Clostridia; Eubacteriales
Also listed under: 1 other name
Description: UMGS1484 sp902796075 Standard tmRNA
Rfam family: transfer-messenger RNA
About the family: Bacterial tmRNA, also known as 10Sa RNA or SsrA, is named for its dual tRNA and mRNA-like properties. Its role is to liberate the mRNA from a stalled ribosome.
Source: RNAcentral
GGGGGCGUAAAGGUUUCGACGGGGGUUUUGCACUGCAAUAAGCGAGCCGUGUUGCGGACACACGAAAAACGCCGCAACCUUAAAACAAACGACAACACGCAAGUUGCCUACGCUGCCUAAUUAGGCGGCCGUCCCGCUCCGGAGUACCGCGGCCGGAAACGGGGCGUCGAUUAGCGGUGAACGCGUUGGCGGGAAGGUCCCUGCCCGCCUUCGUGUAUCAGGGGGGCUACCAAACCACGCAGCCUGUUGACCGGCGGCGCGGCAAGGGAAUGUAAAAGGAUCAACUGCGCUCGGAGAAAAUUACAGGAAUAGACUUUCGGACAGGGGUUCGACUCCCCUCGCCUCCACCA